This 254-nucleotide ribosomal RNA is filed under the name uncultured bacterium. RNAcentral's name for it is "partial 16S ribosomal RNA". It matches the Rfam family "Bacterial small subunit ribosomal RNA", at positions 524 to 776 of the family's 1533-position model. The record is from RNAcentral.
GACGGAGGGUGCUAGCGUUGUUCGGAAUCACUGGGCGUAAAGGGCGCGUAGGCGGCCUUGCAAGUCGGUUGGUGAAAGCCCGGGGCUCAACCCCGGAGGUGCGGCCGAGACUGCAGGGCUGGAGGCCGGAAGAGGAGGGUGGAAUACCCAGUGUAGAGGUGAAAUUCGUAGAUAUUGGGUGGAACACCGGUGGCGAAAGCGGCUCUCUGGUCCGGACCUGACGCUGAGACACGAAAGCGUGGGUAGCAAACAGG